UUCUCCUUCAUCUUUGUUUCUUACUUGAAAUUUAGGAAUCUUGAUGAUCUGUCUGGCUUUGCAUCAACAACAUCCCCCCCUGAUGCUUUGUCAUCUUCC
Non-coding RNA from Chiloscyllium plagiosum (whitespotted bambooshark), 99 nucleotides. The record is from RefSeq and is a predicted model, not a curated record. NCBI's taxonomy places the organism in Eukaryota, Metazoa, Chordata, Chondrichthyes, Orectolobiformes, Hemiscylliidae.